UACGGGGGGAGCAAGCGUUGUUCGGAUUUACUGGGCGUAAAGGGCGCGUAGGCGGCCACCGCAAGUCGACUGUGAAAUCUCCGGGCUUAACCCGGAAAGGUCAGCCGAUACUGCGGGGCUAGAGUGCGGAAGGGGCAACUGGAAUUCUCGGUGUAGCGGUGAAAUGCGUAGAUAUCGAGAGGAACACCUGCGGCGAAGGCGGGUUGCUGGGCCGACACUGACGCUGAUGCGCGAAAGCCAGGGGAGCGAACGGG
RNAcentral lists this ribosomal RNA (254 nucleotides) under uncultured bacterium. RNAcentral's name for it is "partial 16S ribosomal RNA". It matches the Rfam family "Bacterial small subunit ribosomal RNA", at positions 524 to 776 of the family's 1533-position model. The record is from RNAcentral.